This 111-nucleotide ribosomal RNA is filed under the name Capreolus pygargus (Eastern roe deer). Its description in RNAcentral is "partial small subunit ribosomal RNA". The record is from RNAcentral. Lineage: Eukaryota; Metazoa; Chordata; Mammalia; Artiodactyla; Cervidae.
CCACUAUGCUUAGCCCUAAACACAAAUAACUAUUAUAACAAAAUUAUUCGCCAGAGUACUACCGGCAAUAGCUUAAAACUCAAAGGACUUGGCGGUGCUUUAUACCCUUCU